GGCUGGGGACCGUUGGACCUGGCACCUCCUCCUCCCUCUUGCUGUCUAGCUCAGGACUUCAGUGGUUCUGCUCUGCCAGCCUUCUGCACCAUGGUGUGCUGCUCCUCACAGGUCCUCAUGCAGUUGGACCAACCAACCAAGGACGGAAUCUUCCAAACUAUGCGCCUGUUUACCUGGUCUGCCAAAGAGACCAAAGGAGAGUCAGGACGCUGCCACCACAUGUGGUCGGCAUAGUUGCUUUGUGUGAACCGGAAGUGCUCAAACUUAGCCAAAGAAAGUUUUCUCCUGUGGGAGAGAGGAGAGGAGAGGACGUGACUGAGUGUAAAGGGCUGCAUUUGAUGUCCAUGCUGUCUGUCCCCACUGUCUGCCACAUCUUCUGCUCCCACCAUACACUGGUUCUGGUGUGGUCCCUCUAGCCACAUGGAAGUCCUUUCCAAGAGGUGUGUGAUUUUCUUUGUGAAUCUAGGAAAUAAAACAGCUU
This is a long non-coding RNA of Heterocephalus glaber (naked mole-rat), 481 nucleotides long. RefSeq lists it as uncharacterized. NCBI's taxonomy places the organism in Eukaryota, Metazoa, Chordata, Mammalia, Rodentia, Bathyergidae. The record is from RefSeq and is a predicted model, not a curated record.